This 466-nucleotide ribosomal RNA is filed under the name uncultured bacterium. Its description in RNAcentral is "bacterial SSU rRNA". It matches the Rfam family "Bacterial small subunit ribosomal RNA", at positions 28 to 490 of the family's 1533-position model. The record is from RNAcentral.
GAUGAACGCUAGCGGCAGGCUUAACACAUGCAAGUCGAGGGGUAUAUAGUUUUCGGAUUAUAGAGACCGGCAAACGGGUGCGGAACACGUACGCAAUCUGCCUCUGUCUUGGGGAUAGCCCAUAGAAAUGUGGAUUAAUACCCAAUAGUAUUAUAGAGUGGCAUCACUUAGUAAUUAAAAGAUUUAUUGGACAGAGAUGAGCGUGCGUCCCAUUAGCUAGUUGGUGCGGUAACGGCGUACCAAGGCGACGAUGGGUAGCUGGUGUGAGAGGCACGACCAGCCACACGGGCACUGAGACACGGGCCCGACUCCUACGGGAGGCAGCAGUGAGGAAUAUUGGUCAAUGGGCGGAAGCCUGAACCAGCCAUGCCGCGUGAAGGAUGAAGGCGUUCUGCGUUGUAAACUUCUUUAUUUGGGAAGGAAAAAUUGUGGUUUCUACUUGCACCGACGGUACCAGAUGAAUAAG